This 394-nucleotide ribosomal RNA is filed under the name uncultured bacterium. Its description in RNAcentral is "partial 16S ribosomal RNA". It matches the Rfam family "Bacterial small subunit ribosomal RNA", at positions 338 to 729 of the family's 1533-position model. The record is from RNAcentral.
CCUACGGGUGGCAGCAGUGAGGAAUAUUGGUCAAUGGGCGGGAGCCUGAACCAGCCAAGUCGCGUGAGGGAAGACGGUCCUAUGGAUUGUAAACCUCUUUUGUCAGGGAGCAAUGCCGGGCACGCGUGCCCGUAGGUAGAGUACCCGCAGAAUAAGCAUCGGCUAACUCCGUGCAAGCGGCCGCGGUAUUACGGAGGAUGCGACCGUUAUCGGAUUUUAUUGGGUUUAAAGGGUGGUUAGGGGGAUUUUUAAGUCAGAGGUAAAAUUUCCGGACUAACCGCGGGCCGGCAGUUGAAACUGGGGAUCUUGAGUGGGCGAGAGGUAUGCGGAAUGCGUGGUGUAGCGGUGAAAUGCAUAGAUAUCACGCAGAACUCCGAUUGCGAAGGCAGCAUAC